CAGAAACGUGGCAGCAAGGGUCUUUUGGUCUUUUCACCUCUUGUUCUUAUCUAUUUCAGUCCAGCACGACCAGGGAUGCUUGCUGGAGUGUGCUAAAGCUCAGAGGAAGGGCUUUGUACCUUUCCCACUUUCUCUCUCUAGGGUUUCUCUCUCUUCGAGUAGAAAUCGUCGAUUUGCGCCUAUUUCUCGCCGUUCGUCGCGCUAGCUGGUUUGUGGACUUUGGAGCAGCUACGAGUGGGUGGAAAGGACUCGCAUGGGAGGUAUUUUCGCAGCUCCAACUCACAGGGAAGUUGAGUUGAGGUUUAGUGAGAUGGUUUUGAACUGUAAUUGAGGAACGGUUUUGCUGUAAUUCUUCACCCCAAAGUCAGAUUUGAAGCCUUGGAGGGUUCCGAAUUAAUUUGAGUUAAAUUGGUGACCUUGGGGACUGGUUUAGAAAGUGUUCUAACCUGGGCGAGGGCGCAGCCGACCUUUGGGUCAUCUUUGGUUGACAUCAAUGAGCCUUUAGAGGCUAAACUUGAGGACACAUUUGAGUUGGUUUUAAGACGAGCAUUGGGAGCCUUGUCAAUCUGAGAAGCUGGAAUACCCGGAUCGCUUAGCUACGUGAACUCGACAAAAGGCAUCGUUUAUAGAGCCUUCCACCGCGGGAAAGGCUAGGGUUCUUGGCGAG
Molecule: long non-coding RNA, 667 nt
Organism: Ananas comosus (pineapple)
Lineage: Eukaryota; Viridiplantae; Streptophyta; Magnoliopsida; Poales; Bromeliaceae
Exons: 6
Source: RefSeq, a predicted model, not a curated record